UAUUGGCUUUUAAAAAGAAGGCCAUCGAGAAGCUGGGCAUGAGUGCCAACACGUGUUCCUUUAAUCCUGGGKUGAUCGUGGCCAACCUGACGGAGUCGAAGCAUCACAACAUCACCAGCCAACUGGAACACUGGAUGGAGCUCAAUGCACAGGAAGACUUGUACAGUAAGACUCUGGCAGAGUAUCACCACACCUCCCCUGCUAAUUGUCUUCUAGAAACACCACUCUAGCAUCGACCCCAUGUGGCACAUCAGGUAAGAACUGUACUACUAUGGUCUGUCCAUGUUUCCCUAACGAUGAGCUGCAGACAGCCCUGGCACACUUAGUGGUGUAAUGUUGUAUGGAAAAGUACAAAUAAAGGUUAUAGUUAGAGUA
Long non-coding RNA from Salvelinus sp. IW2-2015, 375 nucleotides. RefSeq lists it as uncharacterized. The transcript is spliced from 2 exons. NCBI's taxonomy places the organism in Eukaryota, Metazoa, Chordata, Actinopteri, Salmoniformes, Salmonidae. The record is from RefSeq and is a predicted model, not a curated record.